UGGUGUUAAAAUUUAAAGGAGGUAAAUUUGAGGAUAAUAAUAAAUUAAACAGUUUAAACAAUGAACUCAGGUCCUGUCCCAUAAUACUUCACACUCAUGGGAAAUAUAACAUAGCUAUGUGGGACAAGGGUUACAUAUGUUUAACAUGACAGGGAUACCAGUAGGGACAGACAGAGGACAUCAGUCUGAGGCCAGGACAAAUCAGCUCUCAAUCCUCUUCUUCUCUUCUUCCUUUCAGGUAUCAGUUUAUGGGAUGGAAAUGUAAGAUCUGCACUUUUCAGGCGUCAUCCAUAAACUAUCUACCAGACUAGCCUUCAGGUAAAAGCAGUGAUCACCAGGAACAACUGUCUGAGGUUAAGAAGAAGCUCAGCAUUUGUGUUUAGAAGACAUGACAUCAUCAGUCUUCAGAUGAGCAUCCAGGAGAUGGUGGAGAGGUGGUCUUCCUUGUUUGAUGUGUCUGAGGUCAAUGCAGAGUUCCAGCAGAUCACCACAGUAAAUGUUGAGGCCAAAUUCAUUUCAACUGCUGUCCAUCUUCCAAGCUAAGAAAAGUGCUGCUGGAGCCUGACACCGUGCAAGAACUGAUGCUGUUCUCCAGAGUGGAGUUGCUGUUGAGAAAACCAGAGAAUUCUUCAUCUGAUGUCCCAUUGAUCACCCUGGG
RNAcentral lists this long non-coding RNA (658 nucleotides) under Gouania willdenowi (blunt-snouted clingfish). Its description in RNAcentral is "lncRNA (ENSGWIG00000016056.1)". The record is from RNAcentral. Lineage: Eukaryota; Metazoa; Chordata; Actinopteri; Blenniiformes; Gobiesocidae.